GACGGAGGGUGCUAGCGUUGUUCGGAAUUACUGGGCGUAAAGGGCGCGUAGGCGGCCUGUGAAGUCGGGUGUGAAAGCCCGGGGCUCAACCCCGGAACGGCACCCGAUACUCUCAGGCUCGAGACCGGGAGAGGUGGGUGGAAUACCCAGUGUAGAGGUGAAAUUCGUAGAUAUUGGGUGGAACACCGGUGGCGAAGGCGGCCCACUGGCCCGGUUCUGACGCUGAGGCGCGAAAGCGUGGGGAGCAAACAGG
This 253-nucleotide ribosomal RNA is filed under the name uncultured bacterium. RNAcentral describes it as "partial 16S ribosomal RNA". It matches the Rfam family "Bacterial small subunit ribosomal RNA", at positions 524 to 776 of the family's 1533-position model. The record is from RNAcentral.